This 538-nucleotide transfer RNA is filed under the name Leishmania donovani. Its description in RNAcentral is "gene:tRNA.06.001(tRNA-product:tRNA_serine)". The stretch from base 151 to 237 matches the Rfam family "Selenocysteine transfer RNA". Lineage: Eukaryota; Euglenozoa; Kinetoplastea; Trypanosomatida; Trypanosomatidae. The record is from RNAcentral.
CCCUGCGGAGUCAGAGUGCCCAAGGUGCACACUGAUGCUGAUGCCACGGUAGCAUAUCCGGAUGUUGGCUGCAUCGGCCGCGCCUUCGACCCUGAUCGGGUCGCGGGUUCGAUUCCCGCGCUGACGUGAUUUGUUUGAGAAAAAGCGAGAGCCGCGAUGAGCUCAGCUGGUGCUGGGUGCGGGCUUCAAACCCGUAGGUGAGUUGCUCUCACAGCCGUUCGAUUCGGCCUUCGUGGCGUGCCAUUUUUCUUUUCGCUCCUAACGCACACCAUCACCACGUGCGUCGCUACGUAGGUGAAUCGCAGCCCUCCCCCUCCAACGGCCCAGGGGCAGAUAUAUCCGUUCCAGCAGCGGGUGAUGAUGCGCCAUAGCGACGUCGUCGAGGAUCGCCGGCUGUUGAUUGUCAGUCGUUUCUGUUCUCGCAGGACUUCAAAAAGUACGCGCUGCCGGUGUGAUACUGACUUGCCUCUCUCUCCAUGCUCGCUCAUCGCUGCCCUCCGCCUUUCGCCCCUUUUUCUCUGGCUGAGCACGUCUACAG